RNAcentral lists this ribosomal RNA (253 nucleotides) under uncultured bacterium. RNAcentral describes it as "partial 16S ribosomal RNA". It matches the Rfam family "Bacterial small subunit ribosomal RNA", at positions 524 to 776 of the family's 1533-position model. The record is from RNAcentral.
GACGAACCGUGCGAACGUUAUUCGGAAUCACUGGGCUUAAAGGGCGCGUAGGCGGGCAACCAAGUCAGGGGUGAAAGCCCACGGCUCAACCGUGGAAGUGCCUUUGAUACUGGUCGUCUCGAGGGAGGUAGGGGCGUGCGGAACUUCCGGUGGAGCGGUGAAAUGCGUAGAUAUCGGAAGGAACACCGGUGGCGAAAGCGGCGCGCUGGACCUCUUCUGACGCUGAGGCGCGAAAGCCAGGGGAGCAAACGGG